ACUCUGGUCCUGCCCACGGACAGCCUGCAGCAGGGUCUGGACAGCACCGUGGCACCCGCUAUCGCCAUUGCAGUGGGAGUACUGGUCCCCCUGACUGCCCUCCUCCUUCUCACCUGUCUCCUCUGCCACUGCCUCAGGCACCGACGUGACCUGGAGAGAAACCCAGCCUGGCCAUGCUGGGUUCUUCCUGCCUGUAGCAAGGCCAAGAAGUGCGGGCAGUACGGAGCUGCAGGCAGGUGGGCUCCUGUGGGGUCCCCCAGCCCCAGUGCACCGCUGAACACCUGAGAAACUGCCCACGCUACACACACAAGAGGGAAACUCU
Molecule: long non-coding RNA, 322 nt
Organism: Empidonax traillii (willow flycatcher)
Lineage: Eukaryota; Metazoa; Chordata; Aves; Passeriformes; Tyrannidae
Exons: 3
Source: RefSeq, a predicted model, not a curated record